AAUAUCGCAGUACUCAAUUUACUUUAGUUAUUUUGGCCAUCGGAUGAUAAAUUGAUUUUUGCUAAAUCGUAUUCUGUUAACUUGGUUUCCGGAGAAUAAAAGAAUACUCGAGAGAGGAUAGUAAACACAAGCUUAAAAAGGAAACCGAAACCACAUAAAAGCGGACGUCUAACGAGGGCUACUACGAGGGUUUGGUCAAAGGGGUUGUUGGAGGAGCAGUGGUCGGGGCAGGCGUGGGGAUAGCAGCGGUAUCUGCAGGAGCCAAAUUUGCGGCACCACAUCAUAAUAACAUCAUGCAAUCAGGGAAGAGACGAACAGAUGUGAGCGGUUCUAUAGGACAGUGUAAAAUAAUGUAAUAUGUUCACAAUGAUUAUGUGAUAUUUUGUAAUGAUAAAGAAUAACGAUGAUAUACUCACAUUAAAUCUCAUACAUUGUCCCGGAUUAUUGCCCGAUCAGUUGAUCGGAUUUCAAAGUAAGAUAAGUGUCAACAUCAUACGAAACGACCCACCAAACAUAGAUUUGAUGAUAUGUUUUGUAUAACUCUGCCUAUGUUAAAUAAACAAUCUUUGACUCAGUUAAAUUAGAGUUGACAUACAAGAUUUCUUCUACGAUCGAAUGUAUUUGUAUGAUUAAUGUGUAUCGAUGUGGAAUAUAAUAUGUUCAAAAUUCA
Mya arenaria is the source of this 670-nucleotide long non-coding RNA. RefSeq lists it as uncharacterized. Lineage: Eukaryota; Metazoa; Mollusca; Bivalvia; Myida; Myidae. The record is from RefSeq and is a predicted model, not a curated record. The transcript has 2 exons.